GGCCCAACGCCGUAUUGCGUUGGAAACUGUCAAACUAGAGUCCUGGAGAGGUAGGCGGAACUACAAGUGUAGAGGUGAAAUUCGUAGAUAUUUGGAGGAAUGCCGAUGGGGAAGCCAGCCUACUGGACAGAUACUGACGCUAAAGCGCGAAAGCGUGGGGAGCAA
RNAcentral lists this ribosomal RNA (165 nucleotides) under uncultured bacterium. RNAcentral describes it as "partial 16S ribosomal RNA". It matches the Rfam family "Bacterial small subunit ribosomal RNA", at positions 606 to 771 of the family's 1533-position model. The record is from RNAcentral.